CCCUUAGAUGUCCUGGGCCGCACGCGCGUUACACUGAUGCAUUCAACGAGCUUAUAACCUUGGCCGAGAGGCCUGGACAAUCUUGUUAACGUGCAUCGUGAUAGGGAUAGAUUAUUGAAAUUAUUAAUCUUGAACGAGGAAUUCCUAGUAAACGCAGAUCAUCAAUCUGCAUUGAUUACGUCCCUGCCCUUUGUACACACCGCCCGUCGCACCUACCGAUUGGAUGGUCCGGUGAAGCCUCGGGAUUGUGGUUCUUGCCGCUUUAUUGUGGCGUGACCGCGAGAACUUGUCUAAACCUUAUCAUCUAGAGGAAGGUGAAGUCGUAACA
Molecule: ribosomal RNA, 328 nt
Filed under: uncultured eukaryote
Lineage: Eukaryota
Description: partial 18S ribosomal RNA
Rfam family: Eukaryotic small subunit ribosomal RNA
Source: RNAcentral